UAAACUUUAAUUUUUCAAAUAUUAGUAUUGCAUACUAUUUUAAGAAAAUAUUAUUUGUAUAAUUUAUAGAAACAAAAAGUAAAAGGUUAAUUUUGAUUUAUUUUUACAAAACUAAUAAUAGUUAAUCUGGUUUUGAUAAAACGUUUUUUGUGAUAUCUGUUUUAUUUAUCUUUUUUAGAACAUUAUAAGUUUUAAUUUUAUUUAAGGAACACCAGAAUUAGUAGUAUUCAUUAUUUAUGUUUCAUCACUUUUUCUUUAUUAUAAUAUUUCUUACAUUAUAUUUAUCUUUAUUUAGAUAAUUACAAAAUUUAAAAAUUAGUAGAUUAUACCAAAUAAUAUAAAUUAUUAAAAUUUUAAUUAGAGAACUUGCCCGCUUGGUCAAAUGUUUUUUCAAGACUUAGGUUUUAAAAUAAAACUUGCUUCUGCCCUAUGGUAUUAAAUGGCAGUCUUAGCGUGAGGACAUUAAGGUAGCAAAAUAAUUUGUGCUUUUAUUGGGUUCCAGUAUGAAUGAAGUUAUUGGCCAGUCAUUUUCUUUUAUUUUAAUCGAAUUUAAUAUCUGUUUAAAAAAAAACAGAUGUAUUUAAACAAAGAUAAGUCUUCGGAAAUUUUUUUUAUAUAUUUUCUUUUGUUAAUAUAUAAUAUUUUCUAGGGCAGAAAUUUAUAUAAUUAUUUUUACUAAUAUUAUUUUAACGAAUUACUCCGGAGUUAACAGAAAAUCAUAUCUUAUCCAGUUCUUAUGGUAUUGAGAAGUUUUACAUCGAUGUUGUAUUCCUAUAAUCUAAAAGAGGAGAGUGUUUAGUAAUUGAGACUGUUCUUCUUAUAAAUAAUAGGACUUGAUAUUAGUUUAAUUCAUUGUGAGAUAGAAUUGUUUAUCUUGUUAAAUACACAAACAUAAUAUGUUUAUUAAAAGGAAAGCAUGA
RNAcentral lists this ribosomal RNA (920 nucleotides) under Steinernema feltiae. RNAcentral's name for it is "partial 16S ribosomal RNA". Lineage: Eukaryota; Metazoa; Nematoda; Chromadorea; Rhabditida; Steinernematidae. The record is from RNAcentral.